Molecule: ribosomal RNA, 252 nt
Filed under: uncultured bacterium
Lineage: Bacteria
Description: partial 16S ribosomal RNA
Rfam family: Bacterial small subunit ribosomal RNA
Source: RNAcentral
UACGUAGGUCCCGAGCGUUGUCCGGAUUUAUUGGGCGUAAAGCGAGCGCAGGUGGUUUAUUAAGUCUGGUGUAAAAGGCAGUGGCUCAACCAUUGUAUGCAUUGGAAACUGGUAGACUUGAGUGCAGGAGAAGAGAGUGGAAUUCCAUGUGUAGCGGUGAAAUGCGUAGAUAUAUGGAGGAACACCGGUGGCGAAAGCGGCUCUCUGGCCUGUAACUGACACUGAGGCUCGAAGGCGUGGGGAGCAAACAGG